RNAcentral lists this ribosomal RNA (253 nucleotides) under uncultured bacterium. Its description in RNAcentral is "partial 16S ribosomal RNA". It matches the Rfam family "Bacterial small subunit ribosomal RNA", at positions 524 to 776 of the family's 1533-position model. The record is from RNAcentral.
UACGUAGGCAGCAAGCGUUGUUCGGAGUUACUGGGCGUAAAGGGUGUGUAGGCGGUCUUCUAAGUUUGGUGUGAAAUCUCCCGGCUCAACUGGGAGGGUGCGCCGAAAACUGGGAGGCUAGAGUACUGGAUGGGAGAGUGGAAUUCCUGGUGUAGCGGUGAAAUGCGUAGAUAUCAGGAGGAACACCGGUGGUUUAGACGGCUCUCUGGACAGUAACUGACGCUGAGACACGAAAGCGUGGGUAGCAAACAGG